GCAGGUCCUGAAGAGACGCCAGCCAGGACACAUCCUUGUCACUGCACCAUGUGACCAGCUGUCACUUUGGAUUUUCUGAUCCUUGCAGAGUCGAAGGUGCUGAUGAAAACCGAGGGAUUGCGUCGGCCCUGCCAGGCCCCCAGCAGGAGUCCGGGAGCCCUGUGCCUCAAGAGCGCUGAGACCCAGCCGGGAUGCGCGGGCAGCCGGCACUCGCCCUGUGUCCGGAAGCUCGGCUGCAGCUGGUCAGUACGAGUCCCACCCCAGAUAACACUCCAAAGGGACAGAGUCACAGAAGACUUCUUCCGACACUGCACCUUCUGUCUCUGCCUCUCUGUCCUGUCUCUUUCCCUCUGUCUCUGUGUCUCUCUGUCCAUCCGUCUCUCUCUCUCUGUCUCUGUCUCUCUCCCUCUGUCUCUGCCUCUCUGUCCUCCUGUCUCUUUCCCCCGUCUCUGUCUCUCUCUGUCCGUCUGUCUCUCUGUCUUCGUCUCUCUCUGUCUGUCUCGAACUCCACCAGCUCCUGGACUGAGCCUAGGUCUCUCACUCUGGCCAGCAAGGCUGCAUCACCUGGUCCCGCGGUGCCAUGCUCGGUGCCACCAUCUGCUCCCGUCCGUGCAGCCAGCCACACCAUGGUCUCUGAAGCUCAAGUGCUGCCAUGGUUGCUCCAACAACACACUAGGAAAUGGUCCAGAGCACACUGGGAAUAGGGUCUAGCGUUGUGUUCCAGCUGCCACACUGUUCACAUCCCAUCUGUGGAAGAAUCUGUCCUGGAAGUUCCUGGUGGUGAGCCCGAGGUCCUGAGAGUAAGUCAACAUCAAACACUCUGUCCCACCCCCGUCACACAGCAACAUGUCCUGGAAAGGUGAGGGUUUAGUGCCUGCCCCUUCCCUUGGGGGGCCUUAUCACUUAUCACAUUCUUUGUCAUAUAUUGCAGCUUGAUUUUUAUUUCUAAAAAAUGUGGCCACUGGACAUUGGUCCUUCCAGGGUCAUGCAUCUGGGUCCCUUCUAGAAUAAUCUACUUGGGCAAAGAAGGAGGUCGGUCUGUCCCGAGAGGGGAAGCCAGGUGUGAGCUUGGAGGGGAGGUGGAGAAGAAAUGGGAUUUCCCUGAGGGAUGUCUUGUCCCCACCUUUUCUCUGAGUAUGAAAACCCUCUCCCUCCCCCCUGGACUCAAUCUCCUCUGGACCCUCAGGUGAAAUGACAGGACAGGUAUGGCAGGGGAGACAUAGAGAGACGAGAGUAAUUGGCCUUAUGGUUGAUUUCUGUCCUGUACAUCUUUUUCAUUGUAGAUCUUCAGUUCUAUGUGAUUUCUUUCUUGACCCUUCCCUGGUAUAGUUUCCUCUAUAGUCUUGCCCAUGAUUCUGCCAUUUUUAACCACUUAAAAGUUUUAAACUUCUGGGAGCUCCUGUCGUGGCGCAGUGGUUAACGAAUCCGACUAGGAACCAUGAGGUUGCGGGUUCGAUCCCUGCCCUUGCUCAGUGGGUUAAGGAUCCGGCGUUGCCAUGAGCUGUGGUGUAGGUUGCAGACGCGGCUCGGAUCCCAUGUUGCUGUGGCUCUGGUGUAGGCCGGUGGCUACCAGCUCCGAUUCGACCCCUAGCCUGGGAACCUCCAUAUGCCGCAGGAGCAGCCCAAGAAAUAGCUAAAAAAAAAAGACAAAAAAAAAAAAAAGUUUUAAACUUCUGUGUAUGUAAAUGCUUCAAAGUCCUAACAGUCUCUGUUAGGGGAUAUUACUAUUUAGCUAUCCACACAAUCAUUAUAAACACUUUUAUUCAGUAUAUUGUGUUUACACUAAACAAUGUGCCUUUAAGUUUAUAUGUUGUAUAAUCUGCUUUGUUCUAGUUUGUUAAAGAUGAAAACCCCAGUGCUUAGAAAUACAUAUAGUUCUUAUAUCACUGAGGUUCUUACGGUCAACAGUUAAGAAUUAGUUGCAUUGAUUCUUACAUGCUUGUAAAAUCUUUGCAUUUUUGUGGUCUGCAGGAAUCAUAUGAAAAACAAGCUCAGCUGAAUUUUGGAGGAGAAUACGCCAUUGGAGUUGUGAUGCACGUUAUUAAGGGCUCUAGCCCUAGGUUCUGACCACCUUCAGGAGACCUUGACUUUAUAUUUGCUUGACUGGGAAGCCAUUCAUCAUCCUGUGUCUCUAUUUUAUCAUCCCCAAAGAGUUUCUUGGAGUUCACUGAACUCCCUGGUAUGCACGAGUGGUUUUUUUUUUUGUUCUUGUUUGUUUUUUUAAAUAAAUUUGAGGUGUUUCAAUCA
RNAcentral lists this long non-coding RNA (2247 nucleotides) under Sus scrofa (pig). RNAcentral's name for it is "lncRNA (ENSSSCG00035031686.1)". Lineage: Eukaryota; Metazoa; Chordata; Mammalia; Artiodactyla; Suidae. The record is from RNAcentral.